AUACUAGCACUAGUAUAUAUAUGGUUAUUAUUUUAGUAUAGAGCUACUAUACUAUCGAAAGCUUAGAGCACCUGAUGCUUUUAACCUUUUGACCAUUGGAUCAAAAAUUAUACGAUUAGGAUGAUUGCGAUCUCCCUGGUUAAGUAGUACCCUUCAGUUGGGUGGUCCCCACAGGUUAAUAAUAUUAAUUUAAAAAUUAAAAAUAAUUAAAGAGGUUGAUUUAAGCGCCAAAAAAUUAAAACUAGAUUCUCUAUACUUCCGAUAGCAUAGUAGCUCUACUUAUUAUUUUAGGCGGCAAAAAAUAAAAGUUUUAU
RNAcentral lists this long non-coding RNA (314 nucleotides) under Ananas comosus (pineapple). RNAcentral describes it as "long non-coding RNA (ACOM_LNC018225)". The record is from RNAcentral. Lineage: Eukaryota; Viridiplantae; Streptophyta; Magnoliopsida; Poales; Bromeliaceae.